RNAcentral lists this long non-coding RNA (807 nucleotides) under Brassica rapa (field mustard). RNAcentral's name for it is "long non-coding RNA (BRAP_LNC008807)". Lineage: Eukaryota; Viridiplantae; Streptophyta; Magnoliopsida; Brassicales; Brassicaceae. The record is from RNAcentral.
GUGGUCGAGGUCCGUUGGGUCUGCCUCCCUGCCGUAGCUGAGUAAGCUCGGCGGUUAUAGCCCUAAGGCUCUCCCUCAACUCUUCAUUGUCGGCUAGGAGCUGAGCGUUUAUGGCCGCUUGAUCUUGACCUACAUCUCCCAUAGUUUCUCUGAAAAGAUACUCAAAGAAAAAUUAGAGGCAAGAGGGAUUAAAUAGUAGCUUGGGGUUGGAUACUUGAGUAUCGACCAAGGCUAAAAGUAAAUGCUAAAAUUUAUGAAUAAAAUCGAAUCAAGUUGAAAAAGGAAAGAUGAAUAAUUUUUUUUGAUUUUCGAAAACUUGGAAAGAAAGUAAAACUUCUUUUAAUUUUUUUUUUUUUAAAAUGCAAAAAUCGAAAACUUGGAGAACAAUCCGAAAAUUUUUUUAAAAAAGGAAAGUAAAUAUUUUUUUUUUUGAAUUGUGACGGCUAGGGUUCAGAAAGAACUGAGUUUCGCAGGAAACUUCAGCUCUGAUACCAAAAUGUUGUAGGCACGGGUCGGAGGUUCGAACGGAUGGACGGAUGGCCGUUCCGCGGUUCAACCUUGCCUCGGAUGGAUGGUACCGGCCGGCUCGUCUCUUGCUUGUGUUCGAUCCUGAAACAGAUAGGAACCUUUAGUGAGUUUUCAAUAGGAACAAGAACAGAACAAGAUAUGAUUCUUUUGGUUUUUAUGGAAUUGGAUGAAUGAAAUCUAAAACAAAAGAUAGAGAAAAGAGUAGAUUGGCGGAUGGAAUCUGCUGCUGGACGUAUGUCUCUCUCAGCAAGAUGCCUAGGUCGGAUAGGAAGAUAGAUA